AUGGAGUCACCCGCUGUGAGCCAGUUUCACAGGGCGCGAGUUCAUACUGAGACUGGAAACGAACCGAGCGAGACGAGAGAGCGGGCAGCGCGGGGAGGAAGCGGCCUCGGCGCGCGGGCUGCAGUGCCGGCCGCGCAGGCAGCCGCGGCGCAGAUAAGAAGUGAGAAAGAGAGCGCCGCUCAGCACUUCGCAGCCGCCUUCCCGCAGCAUUAUUCGCAGCAACCCCAAGCUGGAAGCAACCCAAGUGUCUAUCAGCUGACAACUGGAUAAACAGAAUGUAGCCCCUUCAAACAACAGUACAUCAUUCAGCCUGAGAAAGACAGGAACUUCUGAGACACACUGCACCGCGGACAAGCCCUGAGGAUGUUACACUCAGUUGAAUCAGCCACACGGAAGGAGGAGUGCUCUUACCCACACGCGGUGCUUAGAGCAGUGAAAUCAUGAAGCCAGCACAGGGAAUGCAGGCUGCCAAGGGCAGGGACAAGGGGAAGGGGACUCUUGAUUGCUUAAUGGGGCCAGGGCCUCAGUUUGGAAAGGUGAAAAAGUCUGGGGGCUGGGAGGUGGAGACUGGUCCAUUGCCAGGACUGUGACAAGUCCAAGGCUGGAGACCCAGGCGGCACAGCUGCUGCAGCUGGAUCUGAGCCUUGGGAGGGAGGCAGCCUUUUCCAGGGGGAGCUCAGGCUUUGCUCAAGGCACCCAGCUGGCUGGAUGAGGCCCCCACGUUCUGGAGGAUAAUCGGCUUUACUCAAAAUCUGUGGACUUCGAUGCUAAUCUCAUCUAAAAAUACCUUCACAGAAGCAUCUAGACUGACAUUUGAGCAAAUCUGGGUACUGUGGCACAGCCAAGGUGACAAGUGAAAUUAACCGCCACAGCACCGAAAGGUCCCAGUAAGCUGGGCAGACGAGACAGGGCCUGGGGCUGCCUCCCGCCCAUCCCUCAGGUAGGACCGUCCACACCAGGGCCAGGGACUGAGACGGAAACCACUGCUGCGCCAGGCCAGACCAAAUCACGCUCCACAGGGACCUCCGGGCCCUCCCCUCUGCCGCUGGCUCCCACUACUGCUGCCAGGCAGUGUCAAGGGCCUCCCAGCUUCCACCUUCUUGGUCACUGGCGAGGUUGGUGGCAUUUUCCCCAGCCCACUGGGUAUCCUCAAGAUUAGAAAAAUGUUGCCAUCCGCUUUCUUCUCUUACUUUUAGAGUUUCUAUGGCUAUUCUUUUAAUUAAUAGACUUUUUAAAAGAGGUUUUAGUUUCACAGAAAAAUGCGCAGAAA
This 1270-nucleotide long non-coding RNA is filed under the name Sus scrofa (pig). RNAcentral's name for it is "lncRNA (ENSSSCG00070004565.1)". Lineage: Eukaryota; Metazoa; Chordata; Mammalia; Artiodactyla; Suidae. The record is from RNAcentral.